Molecule: non-coding RNA, 84 nt
Organism: Schizophyllum amplum
Lineage: Eukaryota; Fungi; Basidiomycota; Agaricomycetes; Agaricales; Schizophyllaceae
Source: the annotation of a GenBank genome assembly
GCAUUAAUGGGGUAGUGGUAACCUGGGUCGUUGCCAUCGUCGAGCUAGCUCGACCCGCCGGGGGUUCGAUUCCCCCUUAAUGCA